This 468-nucleotide ribosomal RNA is filed under the name uncultured bacterium. Its description in RNAcentral is "partial 16S ribosomal RNA". It matches the Rfam family "Bacterial small subunit ribosomal RNA", at positions 28 to 507 of the family's 1533-position model. The record is from RNAcentral.
GACGAACGAGGGCGGAGGGAGGAACACAGGAAAGUCGAACUGACAGGCCCUGCUUUUGUAGGGUGCUCGAGUGGCGAACGGGUGAGUAACACGUGAGUCACCGGUACUUGACUUUGGGAUAACUUCAGGCACCUGGGGCUAAUACCGGAUAGGAGCUCCUGCUGCAUGGUGGGGGUUUGUAAGUUUCGGCGGUUGGGGAUGGACUCGCGGCUUAUCAGCUUGUUGGUGGGGUAGUGGCUUACCAAGGCUGGGAGGGGGCGCCGGCCUGAGAGGGUGACCGGCCACAUUGGGACUGAGAUACGGCCCAGACUCCUACGGGAGGCAGCAGUGGGGAAUAUUGCACAAUGGGCGGAAGCCUGAUGCAGCAACGCCGCGUGCGGGGUCACCGACUGCGGUUUGUAAACCGCUUUCGCCUGUGACGAAGCGUGAGUGACGGUAAUGGGUAAAGAAGCACCGGCUCCCUACGUG